This 492-nucleotide ribosomal RNA is filed under the name uncultured bacterium. Its description in RNAcentral is "partial 16S ribosomal RNA". It matches the Rfam family "Bacterial small subunit ribosomal RNA", at positions 29 to 507 of the family's 1533-position model. The record is from RNAcentral.
AGUGAACGCUGGCGGUAGGCCUAACACAUGCAAGUCGAACGGCAGCACAGUAAGAGCUUGCUCUUACGGGUGGCGAGUGGCGGACGGGUGAGGAAUACAUCGGAAUCUACUUUUUCGUGGGGGAUAACGUAGGGAAACUUACGCUAAUACCGCAUACGACCUACGGGUGAAAGCAGGGGAUCUUCGGACCUUGCGCGAUUGAAUGAGCCGAUGUCGGAUUAGCUAGUUGGCGGGGUAAAGGCCCACCAAGGCGACGAUCCGUAGCUGGUCUGAGAGGAUGAUCAGCCACCCUGCAACUGAGACACGGUCCAGACUCCUACGGGAGGCCGCAGUGGGGAAUAUUGGACAAUGGGCGCAAGCCUGAUCCAGCCAUACCGCGUGGGUGAAGAAGGCCUUCGGGUUGUAAAGCCCUUUUGUUGGGAAAGAAAAGCAGCAGGUUAAUACCCCGCUGUUCUGACGGUACCCAAAGAAUAAGCACCGGCUAACUUCGUG